RNAcentral lists this unclassified non-coding RNA (327 nucleotides) under Spizellomyces sp. Its description in RNAcentral is "partial internal transcribed spacer region". The stretch from base 1 to 46 matches the Rfam family "Eukaryotic small subunit ribosomal RNA", at positions 1786 to 1831 of the family's 1831-position model. Lineage: Eukaryota; Fungi; Chytridiomycota; Chytridiomycetes; Spizellomycetales; Spizellomycetaceae. The record is from RNAcentral.
AAGUCGUAACAAGGUAACCGUAGGUGAACCUGCGGUUGGAUCAUUAAAAAAAUUACAAAUACCCUGUUGGUUGUCCGGUUUGUCGCCUCUACGUGUCGAUAAACACAAAGACAGCCACGGGGGGCUUUGGCCACAUCUUGUGAACUGUACCGUCUUUGGUGGUGGGGUGGGCAUCGCCGCGUGCGAUGUCUCAUCUGUCAGCUUGGGCCGCAAGGCCCGGGCCGUGGACAAGCCACCGCAUGUUUUCAAACAUAUUCUUUAUUUUGUCUGACACUUAACUUGUAUUAAUAUUACAAACAACUUUUGGCAACGGAUCUCUUGGUUCUC